GAUCUUGCUCUGUGGGAUCAGNUGGCGAACGGGUGAGUAACACGUGCASCAACCUGCCCCUGACUCUGGGAUAAGCGCUGGAAACGGCRAUCUAAUACUGGAUAUGUGACGUGACCGCAUGGUCUGCGUUUGGAAAGAUUUUUCGGUUGGGGAUGGGCUCGCGGCCUAUCAGCUUGUUGGUGAGGUAAUGGCUCACCAAGGCGUCGACGGGUAGCCGGCCUGAGAGGGUGACCGGCCACACUGGGACUGAGACACGGCCCAGACUCCUACGGGAGGCAGCAKUGGGGAAUAUUGCACAAUGGGCGGAAGCCUGAUGCAGCAACGCCGCGUGAGGGAUGACGGCCUUCGGGUUGUARACCUCUUUUAGCAGGGAAGAAGCGAAAGUGACGGUACCUGCAGAAAAAGCGCCGGCUAACUACGUGCCAGCAGCCGCGGUAAUACGUANGGCGCAAGCGUUAUCCGGAAUUAUUGGGCGUAAAGAGCUCGUAGGCGGUUUGUCGCGUCUGCUGUGAAAUCCCGAGGCUCAACCUCGGGCCUGCAGUGGGUACRGGCAGACUAGAGUGCGGUAGGGGAGAUUGGAAUUCCUGGUGUAGCGGUGGAAUGCGCAGAUAUCAGGAGGAACACCGAUGGCGAAUGCAGAUCUCUGGGCCGUAACUGACGCUGAGGAGCGAAAGGGUGGGGAGCAAACAGGCUUAGAUACCCUGGUAGUCCACCCCGUAAACGUUGGGAACUAGUUGUGGGGUCCAUUCCACGGAUUCCGUGACGCA
RNAcentral lists this ribosomal RNA (767 nucleotides) under bacterium EAB-4I102.01. Its description in RNAcentral is "bacterial SSU rRNA". It matches the Rfam family "Bacterial small subunit ribosomal RNA", at positions 70 to 850 of the family's 1533-position model. The record is from RNAcentral.